UACGUAGGGGGCGAGCGUUAUCCGGAUUCACUGGGUGUAAAGGGAGCGUAGACGGCCAUGCAAGCCAGGGGUGAAAGCCCGGGGCCCAACCCCGGGACUGCCCUUGGAACUGCAUGGCUGGAGUGCGGGAGGGGCAGGCGGAAUUCCUGGUGUAGCGGUGAAAUGCGUAGAGAUCGGGAGGAACACCAGUGGCGAAGGCGGCCUACUGGGCUUUAACUGACGCUGAAGCACGAAAGCGUGGGUAGCAAACAGG
Molecule: ribosomal RNA, 253 nt
Filed under: uncultured bacterium
Lineage: Bacteria
Description: partial 16S ribosomal RNA
Rfam family: Bacterial small subunit ribosomal RNA
Source: RNAcentral